GGGUCCAUAGCUCAAUGGUCAGAGCAGUCGGCUCAUAACCGAUUGGUUCCAGGUUCGAGUCCUGGUGGACCCA
This 73-nucleotide transfer RNA is filed under the name Chloroflexota bacterium. RNAcentral's name for it is "Chloroflexi bacterium tRNA-Ile". It matches the Rfam family "tRNA". From Rfam's summary of the family: Transfer RNA (tRNA) molecules are approximately 80 nucleotides in length. Their secondary structure includes four short double-helical elements and three loops (D, anti-codon, and T loops). RNAcentral also lists the same sequence under 3 other names. The record is from RNAcentral. Lineage: Bacteria; Bacillati; Chloroflexota.